CUGUUCAUUCCAGAGCCGAUGCAGCGCUCCGUGUGGAAUCCCUAGUAAAGACUGGUGACUUCGCACAGCAAGGAUGUGACCCUGCACCCUGGUGACUGUACUACGCCCCCUCACACAGGCACAGCACUGAGCACAAACCUGCAGUUGAGAAUCGUGUAUCUUUUUGCAGAGAUGCAGUGUUUCAUGCCACUGAAGAGGAGGGAUUAUCAAACCCAAACCUAUUACACAAAGUGGACCUGGAAAGAGACAAAGUGGAUUGAGAAAGGAGAAAAGGAAGAUUAUCAUGGAAAACUACCCCUUUAGAGUAAGAGCAGCUGUUAUGAUCAAGGACAGGUGAAGGCCCAUGAAAAAGGCUUAAGCUAGUUUAAAGUAACAGUUUGAAUAAAGAAGUUAUAUAGUGUGUUUGUACCUGCGAUUAUUGGUUGGUUAUUUAGAAUAAACAGAGUAAGCAUGCUGGUAUGUCUUGUUUAUGUUUACCCUUUUAGGGCGUGUUACUGUUAUUAUUACUGUUACUGUUUUAUUAAACAUAAAUAUUUAAAGAAAUAUACAUUUUGU
Polyodon spathula (Mississippi paddlefish) is the source of this 555-nucleotide long non-coding RNA. RefSeq lists it as uncharacterized. NCBI's taxonomy places the organism in Eukaryota, Metazoa, Chordata, Actinopteri, Acipenseriformes, Polyodontidae. The transcript has 3 exons. The record is from RefSeq and is a predicted model, not a curated record.